AAAAAAACCAACCCAAAAAACAAAACACAACCCCCAAAAAUUUCGGGGGUGCGCGGGCCGAGAGGGGCGUGUAAGUUUCGUCCCCCGCCGCCCCUGCGCCAGGGGCUUGCCCGAAGGAAGAGAGGGAGGGGACAUCGGAACCCCCAGGUCCGGUAAGCCCUCGAAAGCCAGGAAACGGGGGAUUCCCUUGCCACCCCCAGCCCCUGCCCUGCCCCAGAUGAUCCUACGGAAAUCUUGCGCUCGCUGUAGCGCAAGCACGCGCGGAUCUUCCCACGGCUGUAGCAGGAGCUUCCCGUCCGCCCCGAAUUUUCAGUACAGGUCUCCAGCACCCUCCCAGCACCUCCUGCAGUAGGUGCCCUCACUCCUGCCCUCCCCCGGGUCCUUUCUCCGAGGUUCGGCCUCUGACUCCGCCGGGUGAGGGUUGAGUCUCCUCUAGGCAAGGGCUCCCCUCGAGCGCCGGGUGUUCGCGGGAAAGAGCCACACCACGUUCCCUACAGCCGAGCCAAGAGCCCCACGCCCCCCCCGCCCCGCCCACUCCCAUGGCCGGUUACCUAGGCAAAGCCUCCGCGCCUGGAAACACGUUCCGCCGCUCCCGCUCGCGGCCGCCGGGGCCGGAGCACCGAGCCUUGGGGUUGUAAAUUAGGUAGAAAUAACCACCUCUGUCAAAGCUCCUUUCUUUCUCGUGGGCAGACGAAAGGAACACCCCCAUGUUCCCCUCCCCGUGGUGAAGUGUGUGGAGGAAACCGUGAAACGCACCAUUGUGACCGGGGCUCCUCCGCGGAGUUUCCAACCCUGGGGAGCGGGGGCGGAGGUUGGGCGGGGGCCGUAGGAGUGAAGGAGAGACCGACAGAAAGGGAAAGACAGAGAUUCUCAGAAAGACCGAGGGAGAGGAGACAAACCGCGGGGGAGAAUUUCUGCGAGCGCGCGCGGUCGCGGGGAAGGGAGUGGGUGGGUGNGGUGGCUUGGCCCGAGGAGGCGUCUUUGAUAUUCACGCUAGGAGCACCCCGCACAGAUUGCCUCACAUGUACUUCAGUUGCUUCAGCAUAUUUUCCAAGAGUUAGAUGCUGUAUUUCACUGAGCACUAGAUUGCUUCUCAGAGGCCUGGGUCUCGCUUUGCUGCCAUGAAGCUGUCCAACCCUGGCCUGUGGCCUAAGUUUUCUGAGGGAGUUUUACUCAGAGUUUAGGCAGAAGAGAGCCAGCUGCACAUCGCUGUGCCACUGCUACUAUACUACACUGGCUUACUGUUGCAGUUUCGUCUACAGAGACUUCUAGCUGCCCGUAUUGAGUGCUGAGUUCCCUGAGUUACACCAUUCUACUACCU
RNAcentral lists this long non-coding RNA (1321 nucleotides) under Vulpes vulpes (red fox). RNAcentral describes it as "lncRNA (ENSVVUG00000019374.1)". Lineage: Eukaryota; Metazoa; Chordata; Mammalia; Carnivora; Canidae. The record is from RNAcentral.